Molecule: RNA transcript, 1073 nt
Organism: Raphanus sativus (radish)
Lineage: Eukaryota; Viridiplantae; Streptophyta; Magnoliopsida; Brassicales; Brassicaceae
Exons: 7
Source: RefSeq, a predicted model, not a curated record
UUCCCACUUUUGGUCUUCACCGUUUGGUUCGAGAGCUUGAUAUGAUGAAGUCGACUUCAAGAAUGCUCUGCAUAGGGUUUUGACGUGCCUUUUGAUCUUCUUAUUAGAAUACGAAACGUUGCCACUUUCAGAUUUAUCGCUGUUAGACCUCUUCUUAAAGCCAUCAAAUAUAGAUAGGUAGCCAUCGUCUUCUCAUGUAUUAUCGAUUCAGUGUCCUGGCCACCGAAGAACUUCUUCUAUUCUUCCAACUGCUAUGAAGAUCCAUUAAUUCCGACCAACCUCUGUUGGAGGCCGCCGUCUGUGACUAAUCGAUUUGAGCUCAAACAAAAUCAUGUGGCUUUAGGAGUUUGUUUCAUCGCACCGUUACGACCGCAUUCAAGCAUCACCAUUAACCCCAAUCCAAGCUAUAAUUAUAAUCCAGCGGUCGAGUUUGUGUGGGUGGUGAACGCAAUAGAAAAAGCUGUGAAGAAACGAUGCAUCAUCUCACGCUGGAGAUCAUUGGGGUUGGGAAGAAGAAGCUUUAUGAAGCCAAGGUUGAACUUCAAGGAGUUCAAGCAUGCCGGUGAUGAUGCCCCUGCCAUUACUCCCUCCUAUCUUGGCUGCAAAUAAGAUUCUACAUAUACUACAUGAAACUGUUGUUGGGAUUUUCUCCAAGAAACUUUUAUGUAUCAGAUGGACAGAGGACGUGAUGUUUUAUGGGUUAGUUGUGCUUCUUGCAAAGGCUGUACUCAAACCAAUAAAAUACAAACCUGAAAGAUGAGUUUCAAGAAUCAACGCCAAUCCCUGAUGUGCAACAAGCUUCCGAGGAUCAUGAUCAGGAAGUGCUCCAUCCAGUGCAUGACCCAGCGAAAGCCACAGAGAAGGCGGCCCAAGGAAAGGCUGCCAAAGAGGACGCGGAAGAAGUGGCAGAGGCAAACAAAAAGAGACACUUAAAUGUGGUGUUCAUUGGACAUGUUGAUGCUGGAAAGUCUACUAUCGGAGGACAAAUUCUCUUUCUUAGCGGUCAGGUAGAUGACCGACAAAUUCAAAAGUAUGAAAAGGAAGCAAAAAGAAAAAAGUAGAGAAAGCUGGUA